Molecule: long non-coding RNA, 638 nt
Organism: Mastomys coucha (southern multimammate mouse)
Lineage: Eukaryota; Metazoa; Chordata; Mammalia; Rodentia; Muridae
Exons: 2
Source: RefSeq, a predicted model, not a curated record
GCCUUGAUCCCCAUUUGGGUACAGAUGCAGUCGCCAGAUUCUUGUGGACCCACAGACUGAGCUGACACUCAAAGUCCUCCAAACACAGAACUCACUCUUGGUGACCUGUGUGGACGGACACCAUUGGGCAUCAGAGAAAACUCAACAGACCCACACACAGGCCUUGGAUUUCAAAGUCUCCUGGAUCUUGUGUAUAUGCCCCGAAAAACCAUGGGACCUGGAAGAUGACAUGGGAAAGGGACUCAAAGUAGGAGUCAAAUCAUCUAGAGAAGACACCAAGCUGUGUCCCUGGGAUCUGUAAAUGAACACGUUCCUAGAGAAGAUGGAAAAUUUUCAGAGGGAGAGUUGAACAUACCUACUACAUCCCAGAAGGAUAGCUCAUCAGGCUACUAUGUCUCUCGGUGACAUCGUUUUUUUCCACCCACAUGGCCCUAAGGGUGAGGUCAUGAGAUGAGGUGGUCUUUUCCUGUCCUGGCUUUAUGAGUGUUACAUGAAGAAUAAUGACCUCCAAAGACAUCCAUGGCCUGAUCCCCUCAGCCUGCAGCCAUCACCCUCUCUACCAUGUCUCUUGUCAAUGUGAAUUAGUCAAAGAUCUUGAGAUGGAGGUAUUCUAGAAGAUCAGGUGGGAUCUAAAUACA